This 254-nucleotide ribosomal RNA is filed under the name uncultured bacterium. RNAcentral's name for it is "partial 16S ribosomal RNA". It matches the Rfam family "Bacterial small subunit ribosomal RNA", at positions 524 to 776 of the family's 1533-position model. The record is from RNAcentral.
UACGGGGGGAGCAAGCGUUGUUCGGAUUUACUGGGCGUAAAGGGCGCGUAGGCGGCCACCGCAAGUCGACUGUGAAAUCUCCGGGCUUAACCCGGAAAGGUCAGCCGAUACUGCGGGGCUAGGGUGCAGAAGGGGCAACUGGAAUUCUCGGUGUAGCGGUGAAAUGCGUAGAUAUCGAGAGGAACACCUGCGGCGAAGGCGGGUUGCUGGGCUGACACUGACGCUGAGGCGCGAAAGCUAGGGGAGCGAACGGG